AUUGAACGCUGGCGGCGUGCCUAACACAUGCAAGUCGAGCGGUAACAGGUGUAGCAAUACAUGCUGACGAGCGGCGGACGGGUGAGUAAUGCUUGGGAAUCUACCCAGUAGUGGGGAAUAACCAGUCGAAAGAUUGGCUAAUUCCGCAUACGUCCUCUCUUCACAUCGGAGAGAGGAGAAAGCGGGGACGUAAGGCCUCGCGCCACUGGAUGAGCCCAAGCGGAUUAGCUAGUUGGUAGGGUAACGGCCUACCAAGGCGACAAUCCGUAGCUGGUCUGAGAGGACGACCAGCCACACUGGGACGUGAGACACGGCCCAGACUCCUACGGGAGGCAGCAGUGGGGAAUAAUUGGACAAUGGGGAAACCCUAGAUCCAGCGACGCCGCGUGUGUGAAGAAGGCCUGCGGGUUGUAAAGC
RNAcentral lists this ribosomal RNA (417 nucleotides) under uncultured bacterium. Its description in RNAcentral is "bacterial SSU rRNA". It matches the Rfam family "Bacterial small subunit ribosomal RNA", at positions 30 to 431 of the family's 1533-position model. The record is from RNAcentral.